Molecule: long non-coding RNA, 645 nt
Filed under: Equus asinus (donkey)
Lineage: Eukaryota; Metazoa; Chordata; Mammalia; Perissodactyla; Equidae
Description: lncRNA (ENSEASG00005034090.1)
Source: RNAcentral
CCGGACCAUCGUCGGAGGUGUCCGGGACCGCCAGACCCUCGUCUGGAGCGACUGAGACACCUGGACCAUCAUCUGGAGUCUCUGAAACAACUGGUCUCAAAGGUGCAACCUCAGAAACAAGUGGAUCGUUACAUAACAUCACCCCUCAUGCUGAAAGAACAACUGUGCUCUCACGAAUACAGAUUAGCACACCUGAAGGCACAACUGCAGAACCAUAUGGAAAAAUCCCUGAAGCAGGUGAAAACACGACUAUAUUAACCACACCUGGAAAAUCAGGUUCCACAGGAGCCACCCAUGGUUCAAAAAUUGUGGCAGGAAGUUCCAAUACUCAGGCCACAACUUCCACAGAAGGUGCUGGCACCUCUGGAGGCAGAUUCAGAACAGCAGGUACGACUGUAGCGUCAGAAAGUAAAGUCACUGGGAGUGAAACAGGCACCACCGGAGUGGUCCCCAGCACAACUGUUGCCCCUGGCAGUUCCAACACAGAGGCCACAACUUUCCUGGGAGGAAGUGAAAUAACCAGAGUGGGAAUAGCCACAGGUACUACUGGUAUAGUUUCUGGAAAAACUCUAGAGCCUGGAAGUUACAACACAGAGGCCACAACUUCCACAGGAGGACGUGGCAGCACCCAGGCAGAACUUCCAG